This 776-nucleotide ribosomal RNA is filed under the name uncultured Enterococcus sp. RNAcentral describes it as "bacterial SSU rRNA". It matches the Rfam family "Bacterial small subunit ribosomal RNA", at positions 28 to 776 of the family's 1533-position model. Lineage: Bacteria; Bacillati; Bacillota; Bacilli; Lactobacillales; Enterococcaceae. The record is from RNAcentral.
GACGAACGCUGGCGGCGUGCCUAAUACAUGCAAGUCGAACGCUUUUUCUUUCACUGAGACUUGUCUCACCGAAAGAAAAAGAGUGGCGAACGGGUGAGUAACACGUGGGUAACCUGCCCUCGAGAAGGGGAUAACACUUGGAAACAGGUGCUAAUACCGUAUAACAAUAACUGCCGCAUGGCAGGUAUUUGAAAGGCGCUUUUGCGUCACUCGAGGAUGGACCCGCGGUGCAUUAGCUAGUUGGUGAGGUAACGGCUCACCAAGGCGACGAUGCAUAGCCGACCUGAGAGGGUGAUCGGCCACACUGGGACUGAGACACGGCCCAGACUCCUACGGGAGGCAGCAGUAGGGAAUCUUCGGCAAUGGACGAAAGUCUGACCGAGCAACGCCGCGUGAGUGAAGAAGGUUUUCGGAUCGUAAAACUCUGUUGUUAGAGAAGAACAAGGAUGAGAGUAGAACGUUCAUCCCUUGACGGUAUCUAACCAGAAAGCCACGGCUAACUACGUGCCAGCAGCCGCGGUAAUACGUAGGUGGCAAGCGUUGUCCGGAUUUAUUGGGCGUAAAGCGAGCGCAGGCGGUUCUUUAAGUCUGAUGUGAAAGCCCCCGGCUCAACCGGGGAGGGUCAUUGGAAACUGGAGAACUUGAGUGCAGAAGAGGAGAGUGGAAUUCCAUGUGUAGCGGUGAAAUGCGUAGAUAUAUGGAGGAACACCAGUGGCGAAGGCGGCUCUCUGGUCUGUAACUGACGCUGAGGCUCGAAAGCGUGGGGAGCAAACAGG